Molecule: unclassified non-coding RNA, 301 nt
Filed under: Russula sp.
Lineage: Eukaryota; Fungi; Basidiomycota; Agaricomycetes; Russulales; Russulaceae
Also listed under: 2 other names
Description: partial contains 5.8S ribosomal RNA, internal transcribed spacer 2, and large subunit ribosomal RNA
Source: RNAcentral
AACGCACCUUGCGCCCCUUGGUAUUCCGAGGGGUGCACCCGUUUGAGUGUCGUGAACACCCUCAACCUUCUUGGUUUAUCGACCGGGAAGGCUUGGACUUUGGAGGUUUUUGUUGCUGGCCUCGUUUGAAGCCAGCUCCUCCUAAACGAAUUAGUGGGGUCCGCCGUGCCGACCCUCGACGUGAUAAGUACGCUUCUACGUCUUGGGGUUUCGCACUGUCGCCUGCUUCCAACCGUCUUUGAAUGAAGACAAUCUUAUAGACCUUGACCUCAAAUCGGGUGAGACUACCCGCUGAACUUAA